AUUGAACGCUGGCGGAAUGCUUUACACAUGCAAGUCGAGCGGCAGCGCGGGGGCAACCCUGGCGGCGAGCGGCGAACGGGUGAGUAAUACAUCGGAACGUGUCCUUAAGUGGGGGAUAGCUCGGCGAAAGCCGGAUUAAUACCGCAUAAGCUCUGAGGAGGAAAGCGGGGGCUCCGUAAGGACCUCGCGCUGUUGGAGCGGCCGAUGUCGGAUUAGCUAGUUGGUGGGGAAAGGCCCACCAAGGCGACGAUCCGUAGCUGGUCUGAGAGGAUGAUCAGCCACACUGGAACUGAGACACGGUCCAGACUCCUACGGGAGCAGCAGUGGGGAAUUUUGGACAAUGGGGGCAACCCUGAUCCAGCCAUUCCGCGUGAGUGAAGAAGGCCUGGUUGUAAGUACUC
RNAcentral lists this ribosomal RNA (401 nucleotides) under uncultured bacterium. Its description in RNAcentral is "bacterial SSU rRNA". It matches the Rfam family "Bacterial small subunit ribosomal RNA", at positions 29 to 433 of the family's 1533-position model. The record is from RNAcentral.